This 315-nucleotide ribosomal RNA is filed under the name uncultured bacterium. Its description in RNAcentral is "bacterial SSU rRNA". It matches the Rfam family "Bacterial small subunit ribosomal RNA", at positions 29 to 351 of the family's 1533-position model. The record is from RNAcentral.
AAUGAACGUUGGCGGCGUGCUUAACACAUGCAAGUCGAGCGAGAGAGUUCCUUCGGGAAUGAGUAAAGCGGCGGACGGGUGUAGAACACGUGAGAAUCUACCCUCUAGUGAGGAAUACCUCCGAGAAAUCGGGGCUAAUACUGCAUAUUCCCUUCGGGGUAAAGGUGGCUUUAUGCUGCCGCUAGAGGAUGAGCUUGCGCGCUAUUAGCUUGUUGGUGGGGUAAAGGCCUACCAAGGCGAUGAUGGCUAGCCGGCCUGAGAGGGUGUACGGCCACAUUGGGACUGAGAUACGGCCCAAACUCCUACGGGAGGCUG